CGGUAUAGUGACCGUGCGAAGGUAGCAUAAUGAUUUGUUCUUUAAUUGAGGACUGGUAUGAAUGGGUGAACGAAAAACAAACUGUCUCUUGUAUAAAUUUUGAAUUUAACAUUUGAGUGAAAAGGCUCAAAUAAACUAGGGGGACGAUAAGACCCUAUAAAUCUUUACUCUGGAGACAAAAAACAUGGAGGAUAAUGUCAAUAAUUCCGUGUUAUUAUUUUUAGUGUUUUGUUGGGGCGACAGGAGUAUAAAUAGAUAACUGCUUUAGACGUAUAGUUAAUUAUNGUUAAGUUGNNGAUAAGUGAUCCUUUAGUAUGGAUUAUAGAUUAAGUUACUUUAGGGAUAACAGCGUAAUCUCAUCUGAGAGUCCUUAUCGAAGGUGGGGCUUGCGACCUCGAUGUUGAAUUAAAGAUCCUUUAUGGUGCAGGCG
This 430-nucleotide ribosomal RNA is filed under the name Sagmariasus verreauxi (green rock lobster). Its description in RNAcentral is "partial 16S ribosomal RNA". It matches the Rfam family "Archaeal large subunit ribosomal RNA", at positions 2011 to 2630 of the family's 2987-position model. Lineage: Eukaryota; Metazoa; Arthropoda; Malacostraca; Decapoda; Palinuridae. The record is from RNAcentral.